GGGGGUGUGGUUUAGUUGGUAUAGUGCUUGCCUAGCAUGCAUGAAGCUGUGAGUUCAAGCCCAGCACCA
This 69-nucleotide transfer RNA is filed under the name Mus musculus (house mouse). Its description in RNAcentral is "tRNA-Ala". Lineage: Eukaryota; Metazoa; Chordata; Mammalia; Rodentia; Muridae. The record is from RNAcentral.